RNAcentral lists this small nuclear RNA (107 nucleotides) under Callithrix jacchus (white-tufted-ear marmoset). Lineage: Eukaryota; Metazoa; Chordata; Mammalia; Primates; Cebidae. The record is from RNAcentral.
GUGCUCGCUUUGGCAGCACAUACACUAAAAUUGGGACUCUACAUAGAAGCCCAAAAAGGCCUCAGUGCAAGGAUGAAAUGCUACGCAGCGUGCCAUUUUCUAUUUAU